UACAGAGGGUGCGAGCGUUAAUCGGAUUUACUGGGCGUAAAGCGUGCGUAGGCGGCUUUUUAAGUCGGAUGUGAAAUCCCUGAGCUUAACUUAGGAAUUGCAUUCGAUACUGGGAAGCUAGAGUAUGGGAGAGGAUGGUAGAAUUCCAGGUGUAGCGGUGAAAUGCGUAGAGAUCUGGAGGAAUACCGAUGGCGAAGGCAGCCAUCUGGCCUAAUACUGACGCUGAGGUACGAAAGCAUGGGGAGCAAACAGGAUUAGAUACCCUGGUAGUCCAUGCCGUAAACGAUGUCUACUAGCCGUUGGGGCCUUUGAGGCUUUAGUGGCGCAGCUAACGCGAUAAGUAGACCGCCUGGGGAGUACGGUCGCAAGACUAAA
RNAcentral lists this ribosomal RNA (375 nucleotides) under uncultured bacterium. RNAcentral's name for it is "bacterial SSU rRNA". It matches the Rfam family "Bacterial small subunit ribosomal RNA", at positions 524 to 898 of the family's 1533-position model. The record is from RNAcentral.